This 592-nucleotide ribosomal RNA is filed under the name bacterium 2e110309. RNAcentral describes it as "bacterial SSU rRNA". It matches the Rfam family "Bacterial small subunit ribosomal RNA", at positions 325 to 928 of the family's 1533-position model. The record is from RNAcentral.
CACGGCCCAGACUCCUACGGGAGGCAGCAGUGGGGAAUAUUGCACAAUGGGCGCAAGCCUGAUGCAGCGACGCCGCGUGAGGGAUGACGGCCUUCGGGUUGUAAACCUCUUUCGCCAGGGACGAAGCGAGAGUGACGGUACCUGGAGAAGAAGCACCGGCUAACUACGUGCCAGCAGCCGCGGUAAUACGUAGGGUGCGAGCGUUGUCCGGAAUUAUUGGGCGUAAAGAGCUCGUAGGCGGUUUGUCGCGUCGGCCGUGAAAACUGGAGGCUUAACCUUCAGCUUGCGGUCGAUACGGGCAGACUUGAGUUCGGUAGGGGAGACUGGAAUUCCUGGUGUAGCGGUGAAAUGCGCAGAUAUCAGGAGGAACACCGGUGGCGAAGGCGGGUCUCUGGGCCGAUACUGACGCUGAGGAGCGAAAGCGUGGGGAGCGAACAGGAUUAGAUACCCUGGUAGUCCACGCUGUAAACGUUGGGCGCUAGGUGUGGGCGACAUCCACGUUGUCCGUGCCGUAGCUAACGCAUUAAGCGCCCCGCCUGGGGAGUACGGCCGCAAGGCUAAAACUCAAAGGAAUUGACGGGGGCCCGCACAA